This is an RNA transcript of Plodia interpunctella (Indianmeal moth), 9285 nucleotides long. It is a transcript of the gene named agrin-like, with no coding region annotated. The transcript has 28 exons. NCBI's taxonomy places the organism in Eukaryota, Metazoa, Arthropoda, Insecta, Lepidoptera, Pyralidae. The record is from RefSeq and is a predicted model, not a curated record.
UUCACGCGAGGCUACGUCGGCCGAGGCGUCCGUAACCGUAGCCGUGUUUACGAACAAUUUAAAUUUUCGGAGUGACUGCUACGAUGGGCACUUCCCGAAGCGUGGCGAGGCCUACGAAUGUGCUCAGUGCUACGCGUGUAUGUGCUGCACAUAUGUGAAUGUGUCUGUUCCGUUCAUUGUAUGGGUGCUGGGUUCGUCGGCCGACGUGCUCCAUCAAUGAUGCCAUCAGUGAUGAAAUAUAAGCUCAAAUGAGGCGAUCAAACCUUGAAGAUGAACAGGCCGGGCUACGAUUAUGCCGCGCCUGCUUCCACCACGUAUUACGCGGCCAGUAACCGGCCGCCACAGUACGAGCGCGGCUACGGCCCGCUCACUGCCGCUGGCCCCGUUUACAGCCCCUCUUCCCACCCGCUAGCUAAUUACGCCGAUGUGUACGAAGGCAAUAACGACACCACUCUCCGAGCCGAAGAACGGCACUGGUACAUAGAAAACCACAAAAAUAUUCAAUCUAGUUACGACGUCAGCCACGACGCAAUACCUCAAGAUGCCAAAAUUAAAAAAGAAGAAGAGAAAAAAGCUGAUGUGCCUAUACGAAGGGCUGACGCGACAGUGCCGAGGCAGAGAAGAAAAGAGGAUCGAUGUUCCUGUGAAUGCUGGCCUAGUACCGACAAUAAUGUGGUUCAAGAUAUUGCAGGAAAUGAGACAACGAGGUCUCUGUCCGGAGUCGAUAUGGUAGCCUCGUAUGGGGUGUACGGAAACCCCCAGGAUGAUGAUAGUUCGGGAUUUGCUCGACUUUCAGAAAAAAAUGCGAUGUAUGGACAAGGGAGCGAUGCUCCAGUGCAAGGGGUGAUAGUGAACCAGCAAGGGAACAGUGCCGUAGUCAGGACUACAGCCCCCGCCGAGUCGGGCUGUAGUAAGUGUUGUGGACUGUCGUCUAGUGCUCCCGCGGCCAAUUCAGAGGACUAUUGUUGGAUCCACUACUGCAGACCUGCACUCAUAGUUCUGCUGCUGCUGUUUUUUCUAGUCUUGUUGGGAGUAUCAACAGGGUUCUUUUUGACGAAUAAUUAUUUACACUAUCAACCUAGACCACCCGUCCCUGAGGAGGCAUGCGAGAAGACGUUCUGUCGAUGGGGGGCAGAAUGCGUGUCGCUGGGGGAUGGGCGGGCCCACUGUGCGUGCCCCACCUCCUGCCCCGCGUCCCCCGCGGCCGUCUGCUCCACCGCAGGCCGCACGUAUCGCAACCAUUGCUACUUGCGCAAAGAAGCGUGCGAAAGACGGCUCAAUCUACGCGUCAAACAUGAAGGUGAAUGCGCGGGCGACCCCUGCACUGGCGUGACAUGUCCCACUGGCGCGCGAUGUGUGGUUACCAACAACCAGCCAGAAUGUAGAUGUGCCAGGAGUUGCCAGAGAAGGAAACCAGUGUGCGGAACCGACGGCAAGGAGUAUCCCUCGGUUUGCCAUCUUGACAAACAUGCGUGCGAAAAUCAACUCAACAUCACUGUGAAGUACCACGGGAAAUGCGAUCCUUGUUCCGAACACGAAUGCGCUGAUGGUAGCGUUUGUCAAUUAAACGAGCUGCGUCAGCCGGCCUGCCGGUGCGGGCCACCGUGCGACCUCGUCGUCCGGCCCGGGUCUGCCGUGUGCGGCUCCGACUACCGGGACUAUCCUAGCGAAUGCGCGCUAAGACGGGAAUCCUGCCGGACGCGGCAACAGCUCACUAUCGCUUACAGAGGAGAGUGCGCCUCAGCUCAACAUCCGUGCGAGUCCGUAAAAUGUGGUCUCCGCGAACACUGUUCACUGGACGCGCGUGGUGUCGCCGUGUGCGGCUGCGGUUCUGACUGUGAGUCGGUUGUCCGGCCCGUGUGCGGAUCGGACGGCAAAACGUACGAGAGCCCUUGCUUGCUGGAACGAGCUUCUUGUAUGGAGAACCGAGAUAUACGCGUGGCGUACAUGGGGACGUGUGGCGUAGAAAAUCCGUGUGCCCGCGCAUCUUGUCCUUGGGGCGGAGCGUGCGUGUCCCGCGUCGGGACUGCGCAGUGCGCAUGUCCCGUGUGUCCCCCUGCGCUUGCGCCGGUCUGCGCCUCAGAUCACAACACGUACGGUAGCGAGUGCAAGAUGAGGAUGCACGCCUGCCAAGAAGGCAUCAAGGAAGGGGAACUACGGGUGCUGUAUAAUGGAACUUGUCAGUCAUGCGCGGACAUCGUGUGCCGAGGCGGCGGCGACUGCACCAUGGACGCCGACACCGGCCGUCCAGUGUGUAGAUGCAACCACAAUUGCACUGCGUCGCAGGAAUCGGACGUGGUAUGCGGGACCGACGGCCAAACGUACCCCUCGCAAUGUGAACUGGAUUCAAUGGCAUGUCGGGAACAAAGUGACCUCAAGAUUACUUACAGGGGCGAUUGCUCUCUAUGCGAAGGCGUUCAAUGCUCUUUUGGAGCUCAUUGUUCGGCUGGAGAGUGCGUGUGUCCCACUGACUGUACUGGCGCAGCUCGUGAACCGGUGUGUGGCAGCACCAUGCAGACAUUUCCCAACGAAUGUGAACUACAGAAAGCCGCUUGUAAAUUACCACCACCUGCCACACUACAUGUAAUCUUCUACGGAGACUGCAAGGACAGAUUGGCCGUUGUACCACCAAUCGCAAUGACAACGACAGCGAUGACCACGACGGAGGCAGAGGAAGAGUCGACUGAUUCUUUGGGGGCCACGGAUGAUAGUGUGACGACCAGCCCAUCAGCAUGCCGCGACAUCAGAUGUGAUUUCGGAGCGAGUUGCGAGAUCGGAGCCGAUGGGUAUCCACGAUGUUCCUGUCUUUUUGACUGUCCACAUGAACUUGAAUACUUCCCGGUCUGUGCAUCAGACUUUAGGCUGUAUUCCAGUUUAUGUGCUAUGCGCAAAGAAGGAUGCCAAAAACAACUUGAACUUCGGCUUCGUCCUUUGGAUCUUUGUAAAGGUAUGGAAGUAAGGCCAUGUGGUAAUAAUAAAGCUAUGAUUGAUCCGACUACUGGUCUUGAAAUUGACUGCGGCAAUGGACCUCAUCGUCAGGAUUGUCCGAUUGGAAGCUAUUGUCAUAUAACGCUUACAGCUGCCAGAUGCUGUCCUAAAAACGAUUCACGGAUAGAUGAGAAGAAACUUGAGCACUGUGAGGUUAGCGCGUUCGGAUGUUGCCCUGACGGGUCGACAGCGGCGACAGGACCCAAUGAGGAGGGUUGCCCAAUCACAAGCUCGACUUGCGGUUGCAAUAGAUUGGGGUCCGUGUCAGAUCGCUGUGACGAAAAUGGGCAAUGCGCUUGUCGGCCGGGCGUCGGCGGGCUGAAAUGCGACCGCUGCGAGCCCGGAUAUUGGGGGCUGCCGAGGAUCGGCUCGGGGCACACUGGCUGUAUUCCUUGCGGCUGCUCAGCCUUUGGUUCAGUGCGAGAGGACUGUGAACAAAUGACGGGCCGUUGUGUGUGUCGCACUGGAGUCCAGGGACAGAAGUGUACCGUGUGCGCUGACCAUCGCCGCAGACUCGGACCCAAUGGGUGUGCUGACCCUGAAAGCGGUAGCGUGGUGGCUUCGUGCACUGAUCUGUCCUGCUAUUUCGGAGCAGUGUGCACUGAGCGCACGGGCGGAGCCCUGUGCGAGUGUGCGGCUGCGCCCUGCCCUGAUAGCGAUAGUAACAUGCUGGUCUGCGGCAGCGACGGCAAGACUUACGAGUCGGAAUGCCACCUAAAGUUGCAAGCGUGUCGCACGCAAGAGGACAUAGUAGUACAAGCGUUUGGCCCUUGCAAACUGGGCGAACUGGCUGGAACAGCUGGCCCUCCCAGACCCUCCUCCCCCAUUCAAUUCACUCAACAAGAUGACGGCGCAGCUUCCAAGUCAACGAGGCACCUUCUCAAUCCAGAUAAAUAUUACAAUAAAUACGAAUGGACGAGGAAAGAAACGCCAAGUGAUUUUGAUGGAAUUUUGUCAGGACAAAAGUUUAGAAGCUCCCAAACUGCAACUACAGCAACAGUAGGCGCUGUAGGAGCCUUACUAGGAGAUCUGUGCGCUGACAAUAAUGACUGCGCAGCAUUGCCCGGAGCGCAUUGUGCGCGUGGGGGAUGCGAAUGUAGACCAGGAUUCGCACCCACUGUGCAUAGGAAAGCUUGUAUUGAACAAUCAACUCAAGAGACAACUGAAGAAUACAGUGCAUGUUUGUCAGAGCCAUGUUUUAACAUGGGCACUUGCGUCGACUUACCAGGCUCGACGUACACUUGUAUGUGCGCUGGGCCUUAUACCGGACUGAAUUGCGAAGCCCUCAUAAAAGACGGACUGGGGUCGUACAUCGAAACGCCUUUCUUUGACGGCUCAUCGUAUAUUCGACUGAAACCAUUGAAGGCUUACCAUAAGCUAAACAUCGACAUAGAGUUCAAAGCCUUCUCCGAGAACGGAGUAAUAUUGUACAAUCAGCAGAAACUCGAUGGCACUGGUGAUUUUGUUUCACUUGCUUUGGUUAACGGAUAUUUAGAGUUUAGGUAUAACCUUGGGAAUGGAAUGAUAAUUCUGACGUCCUUCGAAAAGAUAACCUUGAAUGAAUAUCACAAAGUGUCAGCAAAGCGUUACAACCGUGAUGGUAUUCUAUCGGUCGAUAACAUGGAGGACGUGGUGGGACAAUCCAGUGGCCAUUUGAAGGCUUUAGACCUUGCCGAGGAUGCUUACAUAGGCAGUGUACCUACAAACUACUCCAGGGUUUUCGAUAAUAUCGGCACUCGAAGCGGAUUUAUUGGGUGCGUGAAGUAUUUGAGGAUAAUACGUCAUCAAGUGACAAAGAAAUUGGGCCGGCCGGACUCAUUAGUAGUUUCUAUAGAAAACGUUCGCGAGUGCCAAUCCAACCCGUGUAUGAGUAUGCCGUGCAAGAACGGAGCUUCGUGUAGCUCUGUUGAAGGAUCGCUGACCGAAUACACUUGUAUCUGCCCUAUCGGUUUUCAAGGAGGCAAUUGUGACGAUAGAUUAGAUCCAUGCGAGUCGAAUCCCUGUGGAUAUGAUGAGGGGCUAUUGUGUGACAUCGGAUCUGAUGGCGGACAUGUCUGCCGCUGUUUGUUUGGCGGUGAAAUUGGUUCCAAUGGAAAUACUUGUAAUAACGAUGUUAACGUUGUUCAAGAAACGUGGUCCCCUCAGUUUAAUGGAACGAGCUACAUUGAAUUACCACCACUCGAAGGCUUGGGGAAGGCGUUUCGAAUCGAAAUCUGGUUUUUAACGAACCGCUUUUCAGGGAUGCUCCUUUACACCGGCCAGUCUAAUAAAGCCAAGGGGGAUUUCAUAGCGAUUAACUUGGUUAAUGGAUACCUACAAUUUAGAUACAACUUGGGAAGCGGAAUCGCCAACAUCACGUCACCAGUACCUAUCACCAAAGGUCACUGGCACCGAGCCCGUGUCUCCCGAAUCGAUCGUCACGGCAGCUUACAGCUAGAUCACCAUCCAACACAGAAAGGAACUUCUGCUCCACCCCUGACUCAUCUGGAGUUGAAUCUUCCUUUGUUCAUUGGAUCACUGCCCGCAUACAUCCGACCGCACAAGAUGUCUGGCGUGACCAGCAGUUUCAUAGGCUCCGUGCAACAGGUCUUCCUGAAUGGGAACCCACUGUCUUUGUACAAUGGUGACACGGCGAGAUGCGGCAUAGUUCAGGAUGAGGAGAAAUUGCCUUGUGCUACCAGUGGGGUCACAAAGUAUGUGGGCCCGCCUUGCGGUAAUGGUCUUAGUCCCUGCAAGAACAACGGAACAUGUAUACCUCUAUUGAACGAAUAUAAAUGCAUAUGUCAAGAUGGCUACCAAGGCAGGAACUGUGAGGUGCAAAAUGUGGCAAUGCUCAGCGAUCGAUCUCCUAUUAAAUUUGAUGGAAACAAUUAUUUUUCCUAUAGGAGUAAAGGAAAUCGCAGCUUACGUACUAACAAAGAUGUGGGUGAAGGACCGUAUGAUGUAAGAUAACACUCGACGGACGAUACUAUAUAAAUUUAAACCAUAACACUAAACUGCCGUAUGCUUAGAUUAGGAAUCGCAAUGCCCGCGGUGUUAGAUACGAAAUUAAAUUCAGAACUUACAACGAGUCUGGUCUACUUUUGUGGCGGCGGAAGAUUGGAAUCCGGCCUCGGGAUUUCAUAGGUCUAGGACUGAGUGAGGGAAAACUGCAGCUUAUAUACACAGACACUGAUGUGAAGGAACUCAACUCGGCGAGCAACGAGGACUGGUUCCAGAGCAUUGAGUCGAAGGUCCGUGUGGAUGACGGGAUGUGGCACAUAGCCACUGUGAGGAGAAGAAAGCGACUGGCAAUGCUGCAGGUAGACAACAGACCGCCUGUCAGAGGGUACUCCCAGUCUAUGCUGGUACCUUCGAAAUCUAACCCCAAACUAUGGAUUGGGGGAUCACCAACUUUGCCACUUGGCCUGCCUCCGGCCCUCUACACUGGCUUGCACGGAUGUGUCGCAAGUGUGAAGGCGAGCGGGCGACACCUCGAUCUCACGACUCCGAUCCGACCCGCUUCGACAGUCAGACAUUGCGAAUAAACGCACGACUAAUCGCAACGGUGCAACGCGUCAAUUGCCAACAUCAAUGUGAAAAUUAUAAGUAUUAUUUUGAAGCUCUGUGUUACUUUUGAAAGUACCUGUCAAUGUACCUACCAAUACAUAUCCGAUCCGAACUUCUGUUUAAAUUGUAUAUUGUACGAUCAGAGGUUAGCAACCCACAGGGAUGUUAAAAUGAUCCGUAUUCUUUAAUAAAAAAAAGUUAAAGUAUUCUUUAUUACCAAAAGAAUAUGUUGCCAUAUGUUAUUUUGUAGUUUUAGGAUUAAAGGCUCAGAGCGCAUAAAUAUUCCAAGAUUCGAAAAACUUUGAAACUUAUAAUCUCUCGUAUAAUCGCGCCUUAUUUAAUAGUAAUAUACUAUCGUUGGAAAUCGGUGCUCGGAUAACACAUCAGAGGUAUAUUAUAAACAGAUGAAUUAUUGUGUGAAAGUACUGAAUAAAAAAAGACUCUCGAUAUUUUGUUGUUAUUACUAGCAAAAAUAUUAUAUGUAGAUAAUUAGAAUAGUAUAUAUCUUACGUGAAAAUGGUACAUAAUUCGAAAAAGUAUAAAAUAUUUAUCCAGGAGAUGUUGAUAGGCAAAGCCGGGUAUUUUUACGAGUGGUUCGAAUCGCGACGUGAAUCGCCAAUAAUUCUUUAUGAAGGUUGUUAAAAUUCGGAGAAUAUAUUUUCCGUGGUAUCGAUAGUGAAUUACUUGAAUAUAAUUUUUAUUCCAGUUUACAGUAAUAGAUCACAUGCUAAGUACAUACGAAUAGUAUGUAAGUACAUUUGCGAAUGCGGUUAUGACAGAUCAAAGAAUGGCUUUGAUAUGGCAAAAUUUCAGUGAAUGGCUGAAAGGCAAUCAGCAAAACAUAAAUUAACAUGAAAAACUGCAUUAUAAGAUUAUAUAUCUAUGAUUUAUUAAUACUAUUUCACAUGAGUUAUUAACGUAUUUUCAGUUUUUAGGGCAUAGCAACUGUGACGAUACAUGUCAAAGUUUAAUAAUUUAAUUUUCUCAAUGAAAUUAUGAAUACUAGUGUACUUAACAUUUGUAAUUACAUUUUAGUCAAAGUAAGCACUCGGUGCAAAAAAACAUUACACAACAAGACUCGUAUUUAAAUAAGAUCAUGGGUACAAUAAAAGUAUUUGAAGGAUUCACACCGUGGUGCGAUUCAUUCGGGAGGCAAUAUCCUAUAAUAACAUUCCAUUUUUAUUGUUAAAAGACAUCUGCUUUUAUGAAUUUAAUUUCCUGAAUCAAUGUUCCGGUGUCAAGUAAGAGUUCAUUAACGAUUUCAUUCCAUUUACAUCAUUCCUUAAUUCUAAGAUUGCUUUAUAUUCACUCAAGUAUACAAUCAUAAAGGUGCCAUAGUAUUUUAAAAUAGUUUUUAUUAGUUAUUUAGUUUUAUGUGUGUAUACUCAACGUUAAUUUAUUUAUUAGUAGCUUUUUUUAUACAUGUAUAGACCGGAAAAGAAUGCGGUUUUAGUGAAAGAAUACUCCCGUAGUAUGGGAUGUGCAAUGACAUAAAUAAUAAGAAACAAAGGACUUUAACUAGUUUUUCUUGUGAUAUAAUUUAGAAAUCAGCUUUUAACCUCAUAAAAUAAUACCCAUAAUAAUAAAAAACAUACACAUAAAGAACAUUUACGACAACUGAAAUAUUAGUAAUUACUGAUUUUAUUCUCUUCACUAAAAGCCGCAUUGAAAUUAGUUAUGAAAUUGCUCCAAAAUAUCAAAUUUCCGACGUUUUUAUUUCACUGAUACACGAAUUAAAGUAUCGUGUAUUCAAAAUUUAAUUUAUUAAGGCCAUUUUAAUCAUAAUUUUAAUUUAUAUACCAGCUCACUGGUGUGUAUUAUAUGUAUAUAGUUAAUUAAUUACCUGCACUUUACAACGGAUUAUGUUUAAUUUAGUUAAAUUCUCCUAGCUUACUUUGAUAUUUUAUUUUGACGUUACCCCAUUUGGGCAUCGAAAAAAUGGCAGCUGAGGUAUUCCACAAGGUGCUAUUUUAUUUGGUGCCCAAAGUGGAAUACUUAUCAUCUUUUUCGUCAUCACAAUAAUUAAGGAUUAUAAUAAUAUUGACAUAAAUGACUGUUGAUUUAUAAAUUUAAGGUGUAUGCGGGAAUAUUAUUCUGUGAGCAAGUACCUAUUAUCGAAUUUGAAAUUCGUUUUAAGUGUGUACAUUUUAACCAUCAAAAUAACGUUAUAGAUAUAUAUAGAAAAAUAUUGGUAAACUAGCCUAGAUGAAAUUUAGGUAAAUUAUGUUCAAGUUUUUAUAUGCUACUGCGCUCUGGAAAUACGCUAAGUUGUCUUUUCUACUUUUUGUCUAGUGAAGUCUUCAUGUAAAGUAUUAUAACUUAAUACUAAUUAAUAAAAAUAAAAAAACAAUGACAAUAUUAAGUAUAUAUCAACAUGGCAUUUUAGAAUUACUUUUUUCGUGUUAGAAUGCUUCGUGAUUAACGAAACAUAUCCCAGUUUUAGAUAAUAUUUUAGGUUGGUCCUCCCGCCGUUCAGUCGGAAUUUUAACGUCACAGUGUCCAUUGCAAAGUACGCUUCUGUAUGAUAUAAAAUGCUGUAUAGUUUACACAUAAACUUGAUAAAAAUUUCAUCCGAAUCAGCGGUGGAAGGGCGCUCGGCAAUAAAUUUCCCCACUCGUGGGUACAUAGUACGUAUCACUGGUUCUAACAUAUCUUCCAGUCCAAUUUGUUAUGCAAUGUGUGUUUUGAUGUAACUAUCUUAGUUUAUUGAAAACAAAAUGAUAAAUUAAAUGAGACUGCAAUCAGUAA